UUAGUGUCUAGCAACGAGUGUUUCUCUUUUUCAGACUAGAAAAAAUGAAGUUCUCUGCUAUUUUCCUUUUGGCUGUCAUAACCCUGGUCACCAUGAUGACGGUUGCCGAAGCAUUCCCGGCCGCUGAUGAUGCCGAAUCCCUCGUAAAACGAGAGUGGUCAAGAUUCUUUAACACUCCCACCCUGGACAAUAUUGAUAGGAACGUUGAGAAAAUAAUGAAAACAAUAACUGGGGAGGGCAAGUAGCAUUGAUGUAGACAUUGUAGAAAUGACGCAGACUGCCGUUUUGUGCUUCUAGAAAAUAUUUCAAAAUUCUUGUAGGAAGAAGUAGACGAUGAAGUUCAUGUGGUAAAUAUAUGCACUU
This is a long non-coding RNA of Lineus longissimus, 363 nucleotides long. RefSeq lists it as uncharacterized. The record is from RefSeq and is a predicted model, not a curated record. The transcript has 4 exons. Lineage: Eukaryota; Metazoa; Nemertea; Pilidiophora; Heteronemertea; Lineidae.